GACGAAGGACCCAAGCGUUAUCCGGAUUCAUUGGGUUUAAAGGGUGCGUAGGCGGGUUGAUAAGUCAGUGGUGAAAGCCCAACGCUUAACGUUGGAACUGCCAUUGAUACUGUCGAUCUUGAAUGUGUUUGAUGUGGGCGGAAUAUGACAUGUAGCGGUGAAAUGCUUAGAUAUGUCAUAGAACACCGAUUGCGAAGGCAGCUCACAAAGCCACUAUUGACGCUGAGGCACGAAGGCGUGGGGAUCAAACAGG
This 253-nucleotide ribosomal RNA is filed under the name uncultured bacterium. Its description in RNAcentral is "partial 16S ribosomal RNA". It matches the Rfam family "Bacterial small subunit ribosomal RNA", at positions 524 to 776 of the family's 1533-position model. The record is from RNAcentral.